UUGUACAAGAAGUCUGCAUAGUUUGACUUGCCUUGCCUAGUUCCUGAAGCUCAACAGAGAAGUAGAAGCCAAGCAGGGCAAAGCUUUGCAGAGUUUGAUAUGCUCAAAAUUCUUCAUUCAGUUCCAGUUUAGAAAAGGAAAGAUUUAGAGGACUAAAGCAGAUCUUUGACCUGUUACACGUGCUGCUCCCCAAAGGUGAAAACUCAUGUGGUGCCUGGUACUGCAGCUUUGUUAGGACUCUUAAUUAUGAUUGUGCAAGAUGAUAUGUCGUGUUUUAGAGCAAGAGGUGGCUAGCUGUGAUUUUCCCUUCUCCCGUGGCUUUUGCAAGUGCUUGACUUUAGCAGAAGGAUCAGUCCUGAGUGAAUGAAGGAACCUGAUGGCAGCUCUGGAGAAGAAAGGUGCUGUCGGGACUAUAUGCUGAUUGUCUCAAAGUAGCCCUCCCUGUGGCAGCUGCCUAAUGCCACGAAGAGCACGAAAUACACUCCAGAGAGCUGCAGCAUUGACUGGGCCAUAGAUGUUCACCAAAUCGAAGUCUUGGCUCUAAUCACAAACUCAUUUCCACAGCCUCUGUUUACGGUCUCAAAAAAAAUAGAAUAGUUCUUCCAUACCACAGAGUAAACACAAGGUAGCAGUGGCACCAUAUCUUUAUGGGAUGACCCCUCUCUCUGGAGUAGGAAGCCACGAGGCGGCACUGAAGCAUCACUCCCCUGGGGGAGCUGCCAAAGUGCAGACAAAUGAUCAAUAAUGGAUUUUGUAGCAAUAACUGCAGGCUGAUUAUUCUUGCCAGCUGAGAUGCCUUGGGGGUGUUUGAGACAUCAAUACUAGCAGUUGUGUCACACAGCAUCUUCAGAAGACACAUGACCUUCUGGAACAACAGCUGAAGACCAGAAUCACCAAGCUGGAAAAGACCUCUUGGAUCAUCCAUUGUACAGAAGAAAAAAACCCAAACAAACAAAUAAAUGUCUCCAAAUACAUGCUGAAAUGUAGAACACUGGAUAGUAAUAACCAUUUUAAUGACAGAUGGAACAGUUGGUGGAUAAAGAAUGAGCUGUAUCAUCGUACCCAAAGAGCUGUGGUUAAUGGCUCAGUGUCCAAGUGGAGACCAAUGACAAGUGACUUUUCAUAUUGGGAGCAGAGUUAACAUCUUUGUCACAGACACGGACACGGACAGUGGGAUUGAUGGCACUCUCAGCAAAUUUUCUGAUGACAUCAAGCUGUGUGCUAUGGUUGACACGGUGAAGGGAAGGGAUGCCAGCCAGAGGGACUUUGCGAACCUCAUGAAGGUCAACAAGGCCAAGUGGAAGGUCCUGCACAUGGGUUGGGGCAAUCCCAAGCACAAUUACAGGCUGGGUGGUGAAUGGAUUGAGAGUAGCCUUGAAGAGAAGGACUUGAGGGUGCUCAUGGAUGAGAACCUUGACAAGAGCCAGCAAUGUGUUCUUGCUGCUCAGAAAGUCAACCAUAUCCUGGGCUGCAUCAAAAGAAGUGUGACCAGCAGGUUGAGGGAGGUGAUUCUGCCCCUCUACUCUGCUCUGAUGAGACCUCACCUGGAGUACUGCAUUCAGUUCUGGAGUCCUCAGCACAGGGAGGAUAUGGUUCUGUUAGAGCAAGCCCAGAGGACGGCCAAGAAGACGAUCAGAUGGCUUGAGCAUCUUCCAUACAAGGCGAGGCUGAGAGAGUUCGGAUCGUUCAAUCUAGAAAAGAGAAUGUUCUCGGAAGACCUUACAGCAGCCUUCCAGUAAUUAUAGAGGGCCUAGAGGAAAGAUGGGGAGAGGCUGUUUAUCAGGGUGUGUAGUGAUAGGACAAGGGGUAAUGGUUUUAAGCUGAGAGAGGGUAGAUUUAGAUUAGAUAUUAGGAAGAAAUUUUUUCCUCUGAGAGUAGUGAGGCACAGGAAUAGGUUGCCCAGACAGGUAAUGGAUGCCUCAUCCCCUGAAGCGUUCAAGGCCAGGUUGGAUGAGGCUGUGAGCAACCUGAUCUAGCAGAAAUUGUCACUGCCUGUGACAAAGGGAUUGGAACUAGAUGAUCUUUAACAUCCCUUCAAGCCCAAAUCAUUCUAUGAUUCCAUGAUUCUAUGAAACAUGCAAUUUAUCAGUCCCCAUUCUAGUUCCAACAUUCACUUCUUGCGCUUGGCUAAGACAUUCAUGAGGCUUCCAGCUGCUGUCACCCAACUGCCACUUCCUCCACAGGAGAGUGUGCUGAGCCUCUUAAAGGAUUCAUAUCCCUCUGGGCAGUUGUAAAGUCAAUAACAUUCACUGCAAAGGAAGGAAAUCUGUAAGGAUUCCUGAGGUUUGAGGUGAAGUUCUCCUAGGAAUGCAAGUGAUAACUUCUUAUACAAUGAUGAACUUUGCUGUGACCCAGGGAACAGCCCUCCUACAACUCCUCUCUGGGGGAAAAGUGGGCACGUCUGGCAGCUUUCUCAUAUUCCAGUGUCCACAUAUAAAAGCUUUGGGUACCAAACAAUAGCAAUAAAGAAAUUAUAAAAACAGGCCAAGAGACAUAUGGCAAACAUGAGUGUGAUAACUGCACAGAAAAACUUAGCACGUUGUUUACACCACUCUUGUCACGAGAAGACUGCUCAGUAUUACAAGGCUGACCUAGUUUAGAGUUUGACAUUCUUGUAACAUGCUCCAGGGCAGGUACUUUUUUAAGCAAGAUAUUUCUGGUAUGCCAAAGUUCAUCUGCAACAUACUGUCUGCCAGUACUAAUAUUUCUUUUAAAAAGGUAUUUGAAGGACAGGUUGUAUGUGCUGUUUAAACAGCACAUGUGAAGGAAAAUAUCUGCUUGGUUGAGGUAGAGGGAUUGUAUACCCACAUAUAGAACUAAAGUUACAGUACUGGAGGAAUUUAUUAGUUCAGCUUUUAUAUAACAUCAGCUUUCUUCUUCCUUUGGCGUAACUGAAUUAGGUAACUAAAAAGGAAUUAAAGGUGUUUCUCAAAUGUUUGUCCUUAGAAAACAUUGAUUUCCAGUUACUUCAAUUGAAAUCAGCAUCCGUAAA
This is a long non-coding RNA of Cuculus canorus (common cuckoo), 2992 nucleotides long. RefSeq lists it as uncharacterized. NCBI's taxonomy places the organism in Eukaryota, Metazoa, Chordata, Aves, Cuculiformes, Cuculidae. The record is from RefSeq and is a predicted model, not a curated record. The transcript has 3 exons.